UAUCCUGGCUCAGGAUGAACGCUAGCGGCAGGCUUAAUACAUGCAAGUCGAGGGGCAGCAGGACUGUAGCAAUACAGUUGCUGGCGACCGGCAAACGGGUGCGGAACACGUACGCAACUUACCCUUGUCUGGGGCAUAGCCCACCGAAAGGUGGAUUAACUCCCCAUAAGAUAGUGGUGUGGCAUCACACAGCUAUUAAAUCUCUGGAGGACAGGGAUGGGCGUGCGGCUGAUUAGGUAGUUGGCGGGGUAACGGCCCACCAAGCCUGCGAUCAGUAACUGGUGUGAGAGCACGACCAGUCACACGGGCACUGAGACACGGGCCCGACUCCUACGGGAGGCAGCAGUAAGGAAUAUUGGUCAAUGGACGCAAGUCUGAACCAGCCAUGCCGCGUGGAGGAUGAAGGCCCUCUGGGUUGUAAACUUCUUUUACAGGGGACGAAACACUUCUAUUCUUAGGAGCUUGACGGUACCCUGGGAAUAAGCACCGGCUAACUCCGUG
Molecule: ribosomal RNA, 501 nt
Filed under: uncultured Chitinophagaceae bacterium
Lineage: Bacteria; Pseudomonadati; Bacteroidota; Chitinophagia; Chitinophagales; Chitinophagaceae
Description: bacterial SSU rRNA
Rfam family: Bacterial small subunit ribosomal RNA
Source: RNAcentral